AGGUCUUGACAUCUUCUGCCAAUCUUAGAGAUAAGACGUUCCCUUCGGGGACAGAAUGACAGGUGGUGCAUGGUUGUCGUCAGCUCGUGUCGUGAGAUGUUGGGUUAAGUCCCGCAACGAGCGCAACCCUUAUUAUCAGUUGCCAGCAUUCAGUUGGGCACUCUGGUGAGACUGCCGGUGACAAACCGGAGGAAGGUGGGGAUGACGUCAAAUCAUCAUGCCCCUUAUGACCUGGGCUACACACGUGCUACAAUGGACGGUACAACGAGUCGCAAAGUCGCGAGGCUAAGCUAAUCUCUUAAAGCCGUUCUCAGUUCGGAUUGCAGGCUGCAACUCGCCUACAUGAAGUUGGAAUCGCUAGUAAUCGCGGAUCAGCAUGCCGCGGUGAAUACGUUCCCGGGCCUU
This 405-nucleotide ribosomal RNA is filed under the name uncultured Lactobacillus sp. RNAcentral describes it as "bacterial SSU rRNA". It matches the Rfam family "Bacterial small subunit ribosomal RNA", at positions 976 to 1382 of the family's 1533-position model. Lineage: Bacteria; Bacillati; Bacillota; Bacilli; Lactobacillales; Lactobacillaceae. The record is from RNAcentral.